GCUAGCCUAUACAGUGUACAUACCGUGUUAAAUUGAAAAUUGUCGUCGUAUAUUAUAUAUGGUGAAACCGAUCCAAACGGUAAUUCUGAAGUUUUUAAUUCCAUUGAACUAUUGAUUGGUUGUAUGAAAAAAAAAACCUUUUUUAUUAAUUUGUUAAAUUUAUAUGUACCGUUACAAGUCUACUUAAUGUUGUAUUGAAAUUCUUUAAAAUAAC
Cinara cedri is the source of this 214-nucleotide non-coding RNA. The record is from the annotation of a GenBank genome assembly. NCBI's taxonomy places the organism in Eukaryota, Metazoa, Arthropoda, Insecta, Hemiptera, Aphididae.